GACGAACGCUGGCGGCGUGCUUAACACAUGCAAGUCGAGCGAGGUCCAUCCAGUCGCAAGACUGGGGAAGACCUAGCGGCGAGCGGGUGAGUAACACGUGAGCAACCUGCCCCGAAGUCUGGGAUAACACCGGGAAACCGGUGCUAAUACCGGAUGCCCUCCUCUGGUCGCAUGGCCUAGGGGAGGAGAGAAUUUUGCUUCGGGAGGGGCUCGCGGGCUAUCAGCUGGUUGGGUGGGGUAACGGCCCACCAAGGCGACGACGGCUAGCUGUCUGAGAGGACGACCAGCCACACUGGGACUGAGACACGGCCCAGACUCCUACGGGAGGCAGCAGUGGGGAAUCUUGCGCAAUGGGCGAAAGCCUGACGCAGCAACGCCGCGGUGGGGGAUG
This 391-nucleotide ribosomal RNA is filed under the name uncultured bacterium. RNAcentral describes it as "bacterial SSU rRNA". It matches the Rfam family "Bacterial small subunit ribosomal RNA", at positions 28 to 410 of the family's 1533-position model. The record is from RNAcentral.